RNAcentral lists this ribosomal RNA (250 nucleotides) under uncultured bacterium. Its description in RNAcentral is "partial 16S ribosomal RNA". It matches the Rfam family "Bacterial small subunit ribosomal RNA", at positions 524 to 773 of the family's 1533-position model. The record is from RNAcentral.
UACGUAGGUGGCAAGCGUUGUCCGGAAUUACUGGGCGUAAAGGGCGUGUAGGCGGCCAAUUAAGUCAGAUGUGAAAUCCCCGGGCUUAACCUGGGAACUGCAUUUGAGACUGGAUGGCUUGAGGACCGGAGAGGGUAGUGGAAUUCCUAGUGUAGCGGUGAAAUGCGUAGAUAUUAGGAGGAACACCAGUGGCGAAGGCGACUACCUGGACGGCACCUGACGCUGAGGCGCGAAAGCCAGGGUAGCAAAC